CCUUGGCAAACUGAUUUCACUGCCGUUCCGUAUUCUAUGGAAGCUUAUCACCAACAGUAUCAUCGGCGCCAUUAUCCUGUGGGGCAUCAACCUUUUUGGCGUCGGCAUAGAAAUCACCUUUCUAAAGGCGCUCAUUGCGGGGAUAUUCGGCAUACCGGGCGUCGUACUUGUCCUCAUUGCACAUGCGCUGGGCCAUUGAAGAUAGAAUCGGGAGCCGGCAUAGCGCCGUAUCGUCUCGAAAAAUUAUGCGGGAAAGGUUGGAUAUUCAGGCGCCAUACGAACAUGUCAUUAAAUUUGAUAAAUUCGUUAAAAAUUUUCAAAAAACCUAAAAAAUACCCUUGACGAAGAAAAACCUCUGUGUUAUAUUAUGACAGUCGCGCUGCGGGAGGCAGAGGCCUUUGGAGGCGCGGGAAUGUACCCUGAAAACUACACAAUGCAGAGAGGUUAGAGAUA
This 453-nucleotide ribosomal RNA is filed under the name Selenomonas sp. F0473. RNAcentral describes it as "partial 23S ribosomal RNA". The record is from RNAcentral. Lineage: Bacteria; Bacillati; Bacillota; Negativicutes; Selenomonadales; Selenomonadaceae.